GAGGGUAUAGCUCAUUGGCAGAGCACGUGCCUAGCAUGCACAAGGUCCUGGGUUCAACCUCCAGUGCCUCUA
Molecule: transfer RNA, 72 nt
Filed under: Camelus bactrianus (Bactrian camel)
Lineage: Eukaryota; Metazoa; Chordata; Mammalia; Artiodactyla; Camelidae
Also listed under: 2 other names
Rfam family: tRNA
About the family: Transfer RNA (tRNA) molecules are approximately 80 nucleotides in length. Their secondary structure includes four short double-helical elements and three loops (D, anti-codon, and T loops). Further hydrogen bonds mediate the characteristic L-shaped molecular structure. tRNAs have two regions of fundamental functional importance: the anti-codon, which is responsible for specific mRNA codon recognition, and the 3' end, to which the tRNAs corresponding amino acid is attached (by aminoacyl-tRNA synthetases). tRNAs cope with the degeneracy of the genetic code in two manners: having more than one tRNA (with a specific anti-codon) for a particular amino acid; and 'wobble' base-pairing, i.e. permitting non-standard base-pairing at the 3rd anti-codon position.
Source: Rfam by way of RNAcentral